RNAcentral lists this ribosomal RNA (253 nucleotides) under uncultured bacterium. RNAcentral describes it as "partial 16S ribosomal RNA". It matches the Rfam family "Bacterial small subunit ribosomal RNA", at positions 524 to 776 of the family's 1533-position model. The record is from RNAcentral.
GACAGAGGGUGCAAACGUUGUUCGGAAUUACUGGGCGUAAAGGGCGCGUAGGCGGCCUGUUAAGUCGAACGUGAAAUCCCCGGGCUCAACCCGGGAACUGCGUCCGAUACUGGCAGGCUUGAAUCCGGGAGAGGGAUGCGGAAUUCCAGGUGUAGCGGUGAAAUGCGUAGAUAUCUGGAGGAACACCGGUGGCGAAGGCGGCAUCCUGGACCGGCAUUGACGCUGAGGCGCGAAAGCCAGGGGAGCAAACGGG